CUUCAAUAACCCCAGGUAAAGUUACUAACUUCAAUAACCCCAGGUAAAGUUACUAACUUCAAUAACCCCAGGUAAAGUUACUAACUUCAAUAACCCCAGGUAAAGUUACUAACUUCAAUAACCCCAGGUAAAGUUACUAACUUCAAUAACCCCAGGUAAAGUUACUAACUUCAAUAACCCCAGGUAAAGUUACUAACUUCAAUAACCCCAGGUAAAGUUACUAACUUCAAUAACCCCAGGUAAAGUUACUAACUUCAAUAACCCCAGGUAAAGUUACUAACUUCAAUAACCCCAGGUAAAGUUACUAACUUCAAUAACCCCAGGUAAAGUUACUAACUUCAAUAACCCCAGGUAAAGUUACUAACUUCAAUAACCCCAGGUAAAGUUACUAACUUCAAUAACCCCAGGUAAAGUUACUAACUUCAAUAACCCCAGGUAAAGUUACUAACUUCAAUAACCCCAGGUAAAGUUACUAACUUCAAUAACCCCAGGUAAAGUUACUAACUUCAAUAACCCCAGGUAAAGUUACUAACUUCAAUAACCCCAGGUAAAGUUACUAACUUCAAUAACCCCAGGUAAAGUUACUAACUUCAAUAACCCCAGGUAAAGUUACUAACUUCAAUAACCCCAGGUAAAGUUACUAACUUCAAUAACCCCAGGUAAAGUUACUAACUUCAAUAACCCCAGGUAAAGUUACUAACUUCAAUAACCCCAGGUAAAGUUACUAACUUCAAUAACCCCAGGUAAAGUUACUAACUUCAAUAACCCCAGGUAAAGUUACUAAC
Long non-coding RNA from Oncorhynchus keta (chum salmon), 785 nucleotides. RefSeq lists it as uncharacterized. The transcript is spliced from 4 exons. NCBI's taxonomy places the organism in Eukaryota, Metazoa, Chordata, Actinopteri, Salmoniformes, Salmonidae. The record is from RefSeq and is a predicted model, not a curated record.